UCACCCUUAUACCGGUCUUAGAUAUUCAUUCUUCCUGAGUUUGUUACCCUUAUACCGGUAACACCUCUUUCUUUGUUGCUUCUCCAGGAGAGUCUCUUUGUUAGACCUUCUCCAGUGGAGUUUCCUGUUGUGAUUUUACCCUUUUGCUGUAUUGGCGUUUUCCCCAAUAUAUGCAUUUUCCCCUGCAGGGAGAUUCUUU
Molecule: long non-coding RNA, 199 nt
Filed under: Lathyrus oleraceus (garden pea)
Lineage: Eukaryota; Viridiplantae; Streptophyta; Magnoliopsida; Fabales; Fabaceae
Description: Pisum sativum (pea) long non-coding RNA (PSAT_LNC002143)
Source: RNAcentral